RNAcentral lists this ribosomal RNA (376 nucleotides) under uncultured bacterium. RNAcentral describes it as "bacterial SSU rRNA". It matches the Rfam family "Bacterial small subunit ribosomal RNA", at positions 524 to 898 of the family's 1533-position model. The record is from RNAcentral.
UACGUGGGGGCCGAGCGUUGUCCGGAGUUACUGGGCGUAAAGGGCGCGCAGGCGGCGGCGUGGGUCCGGCGUGAAAGCCCCCGGCUCAACCGGGGAACGUCGUCGGGGACCGCGCCGCUUGAGGGCGGCAGGGGCCGGUGGAAUGCCUGGUGUAGUGGUGAAAUGCGUAGAGAUCAGGCGGAACACCCGUGGCGAAGGCGGCCGGCUGGGCCGUCCCUGACGCUGAGGCGCGAAGGCGUGGGGAGCGAACGGGAUUAGAUACCCCGGUAGUCCACGCAGUAAACGAUGCCGACUGGGCGUGGGGGGAGUUGACCCCCUCCGUGCCGGAGCCAACGCGGGAAGUCGGCCGCCUGGGGAGUACGGCCGCAAGGCUAAA